GUGUCUGUAGCUCAGUUGGAUAGAGCGGCGCCCUCCUAAGGCGUAGGCCAUGAGUUCGAAUCUCGUCAGGCACA
This 74-nucleotide transfer RNA is filed under the name Cetobacterium ceti. It matches the Rfam family "tRNA". Rfam says of the family: Transfer RNA (tRNA) molecules are approximately 80 nucleotides in length. Their secondary structure includes four short double-helical elements and three loops (D, anti-codon, and T loops). Further hydrogen bonds mediate the characteristic L-shaped molecular structure. tRNAs have two regions of fundamental functional importance: the anti-codon, which is responsible for specific mRNA codon recognition, and the 3' end, to which the tRNAs corresponding amino acid is attached (by aminoacyl-tRNA synthetases). tRNAs cope with the degeneracy of the genetic code in two manners: having more than one tRNA (with a specific anti-codon) for a particular amino acid; and 'wobble' base-pairing, i.e. permitting non-standard base-pairing at the 3rd anti-codon position. The record is from Rfam by way of RNAcentral. Lineage: Bacteria; Fusobacteriati; Fusobacteriota; Fusobacteriia; Fusobacteriales; Fusobacteriaceae.